UGAUCAAAUUCCAUAAAGCCCGAAGGGCUUUAUGGAAAAUUUGAUCAUGUACCAACCCGUAUUUAUAUCCCGAUAAAUAUUUUUAAAUGAUACCUUAUUACUUAUAUUUACAUUUUUGGUCGGUAACAUUGCUGAAUUGUGUUAACAACACGUUUCCAUACAUUUCAAAUUGUUGACGUCCACAACGAAGCGUCAUAGAUGUUCAAAAUGACGACAACACAAAACAAAGUUCUAUAAAAUGAAGAACUGUUUUAAUUAUUAAGACGCUAGAAAGCAAGUAUAUCAACAUAUACUUAUACAUUAACUCGGGAGUAUAUAAUGGAAAACUCUUCCAUAUGUCUAAUUUUAGGGGGUGGGGGAAUUAUGAUUUAAACGGGGAUGCGCAGUGUUACACAUAGAGUUGUGAUACGCUUUGACUUUUGAAAAGUGAAGACGUUGAAGACCGACUUUGAAAGAUAUUCUGUGGAUAUUGCAGAGUUAACAGAAAACUGAGAUGGAGGAACAUGAAGAACAGGGCGGCAGUCGUCAGGUGUAGGCAAAUUAUUUAUAGACAGGACAGAGGACGCAGCUCAGAUGAAUCUCCGGAAAGAACUGAACAUCGCAGAGAAUGUGGAACUGCACGAAGGUAAGGGACGGUUUGGAUUUGGAUAUGUAAUUGUUGAUAAACAUGAGCUCACUGAACGCUUCUUUUGACUCGAUAAUUUUUUGUAAUAGGUUUUUAACGACGCCUCGCUUCGAUGUCCCGACAUAAACUUGGAAACCGACAUCAAACACUAUGGCUGCUGUUGCACGGAAGCAGUGUGGUGUGUAGGUCUUAAUGCACUUUGACGACUUAUCGGCCAUACAUCCUGUGAACGACCUUUUUGCUAAAGCCUAAUGUAAUCGUCUAGCAGUAGGUACAAUUCCGCAUCACCGAUGACCAGGGUGAAGUUGUAGCAGACGAAAUUUUAGACAUAUUGUGCCGUUACCUAUUUUCGAUAGUAUCCUAAUUUCGAUAGAUUAUUAUUUUUAACGAUCAUUCGAUAUUGUAAUGUCAUUUUUCGGAACGUUUUUUCCCAAAAUCAGCGUCAGUAACAAGAAGUGUCAGAUAGCCAAAAAGAUCGAGAAUUACGCUUUUCAAAGAGAUAUUUUCCAUCCAGAGAGGAAAUUAUAAGAAUGAUGAUCCAGACGCCUUGGCCAAUGCUUUCCAGUCGGUAAAAUGUGGAAUGAGUGUCCAUGCUGAAUUGUUACUGCCAAAUGUUUCCAAGUCCCCUAGACAACUUUAAAAUAUGAUAAAUGGGCGUAAUAACAUUGGGGCGUGUGUCUUCAGGACCUUCACCACUUUUUAAAAAUUGUUUGAAGUUGCUUUAUUUGUUCAUUAUUAAAUGUAAUCAAUUUGGUCGAAAAAAUAAAAAUAAAAGAAUCAU
Molecule: long non-coding RNA, 1406 nt
Organism: Ostrea edulis (European flat oyster)
Lineage: Eukaryota; Metazoa; Mollusca; Bivalvia; Ostreida; Ostreidae
Exons: 2
Source: RefSeq, a predicted model, not a curated record